CGUUAUAUGGCCGAAAUGGUGAAGGCGUCGCCGAUUAUAGGCGAAGAUGCGGGUUUGAGUCCCGCAGGAACGU
Molecule: transfer RNA, 73 nt
Organism: Operophtera brumata (winter moth)
Lineage: Eukaryota; Metazoa; Arthropoda; Insecta; Lepidoptera; Geometridae
Rfam family: tRNA
About the family: Transfer RNA (tRNA) molecules are approximately 80 nucleotides in length. Their secondary structure includes four short double-helical elements and three loops (D, anti-codon, and T loops).
Source: Rfam